UGGUGGGCCAAAUCCUUUCCAAGAAAUUGUCAGCAAAAAAACACAAUUUAAGAAGGCGAAGAAGGACCAAUCUAGCUCUGGAAACAACCCAUUCAGGAUAUGAAGUCGUUGGUGUCAAUGUGAAGCAACAUGAUUUGUCGACAUGCUGUCAAAAUUGUAGGUAGCAACUCUUGCUAUGUUGUUAACAAGUUUUGUAAUUUUUUAUUCAAUUUAUUGGAAGGGGAGGAAUGAAAUAUGAGGGAGA
Molecule: unclassified non-coding RNA, 244 nt
Filed under: Hevea brasiliensis (rubber tree)
Lineage: Eukaryota; Viridiplantae; Streptophyta; Magnoliopsida; Malpighiales; Euphorbiaceae
Source: RNAcentral